UGGGGAAUUUUGGACAAUGGGGGCAACCCUGAUCCAGCAAUGCCGCGUGAGUGAAGAAGGCCUUCGGGUUGUAAAGCUCUUUUGUCAGGGAAGAAACGGUGAGUUCUAAUACAACUUGCUAAUGACGGUACCUGAAGAAUAAGCACCGGCUAACUACGUGCCAGCAGCCGCGGUAAUACGUAGGGUGCAAGCGUUAAUCGGAAUUACUGGGCGUAAAGCGUGCGCAGGCGGUUAUAUAAGUCAGAUGUGAAAUCCCCGGGCUCAACCUGGGAACUGCAUUUGAGACUGUAUGGCUAGAGUGUGUCAGAGGGGGGUAGAAUUCCACGUGUAGCAGUGAAAUGCGUAGAGAUGUGGAGGAAUACCGAUGGCGAAGGCAGCCCCCUGGGAUAACACUGACGCUCAUGCACGAAAGCGUGGGGAGCAAACA
This 427-nucleotide ribosomal RNA is filed under the name uncultured Oxalobacteraceae bacterium. Its description in RNAcentral is "bacterial SSU rRNA". It matches the Rfam family "Bacterial small subunit ribosomal RNA", at positions 355 to 774 of the family's 1533-position model. The record is from RNAcentral. Lineage: Bacteria; Pseudomonadati; Pseudomonadota; Betaproteobacteria; Burkholderiales; Oxalobacteraceae.